UUUUUUUUCAUUUUACGUCCCUGGCAGAGUUCUUGGAGUACUAUGAACUUACAGUCGUCUAACUUUGUAUUCAGAUGCAUUUAGGAUAGCCAGACAUAAUUACAACUCCAUUAUAUAGACUUUCAACAAUGGACUAGACCCAGUGUAUACAGAGGAACCCAACAACUGAACAGAGCAGAACAGUAUUCAGUGACCUUGAAGAGUAAGCAAUGUGUACAGUAAAACAGCUAUCUUUGUAGUUACCAAAGGGUAUGGUAAGAACCUCAUCUAUAAUUAUAUGUGGUUCUUUCUGUGACAUGUUUUUCAUGGUGUUGGGAAUAAGACUUUUGGGUCUAAUACAUCUAAAAGGAAGAUUAACAUCACAGCUUGUCCGUAAGGAUUGAGGUUGGGAAUGGCCAUUGGAGCUGACUUUUAUGGUAACUUUAACUGUGGCUGCAUGAAAAUGAUUAGGUGACUUUACCAGUAAAGAAUGUAAUUCAGACAAUUUUUGUGUAUGUUUGAUAAAUGUUUAUAAUUUAAAAAAAAAAAAAAAUAGUGUAAAGAUUCUCCAUUUUCAACAAAAUUGUAAGUUAUAGAUAACUUAUUUUGAAUUUUAAAAUCUCUCUUUUUACCAUUAAAACCAAAGGAUAUAUUCAGGUAGCUCUACUCAUGUCCAUUCUUGACAAUUUUUUUGUCAUGCAUAUUGAUACUGAACUGGUUUUUGUCUCGCCUUGACAGAGCCAAAAAGCGAGACAUAAGUAUGCUGUCUCCGGC
This is a long non-coding RNA of Mytilus californianus (California mussel), 753 nucleotides long. RefSeq lists it as uncharacterized. The record is from RefSeq and is a predicted model, not a curated record. The transcript has 6 exons. NCBI's taxonomy places the organism in Eukaryota, Metazoa, Mollusca, Bivalvia, Mytilida, Mytilidae.